GUCUUCCAUUUGUCCAGUAGUUCCUUCACUAUGAUGUUUUGGUACGGAAAUGUAUUCUGUGCCAUGAUAUACUGGAAGUAUGUGAUCUGCUAUGUUAUGGCUAGGUAUGGCCCCCACAGACUCAUAUAUUUCGAACAAGCCUGUGGAGGUGAGGGAGUAGAAUGUGGUGGUUUGAAUAUACUUGGCCCACAGAGUGACACUAUUUGGGGGUGUAGGAGUAGGUGUGGCCUUGUUGGAGGAUGUGUGUCACUGUUGGGGUGGGCUUUGAAUUCGUAUACUUAAGCUCCCCCCACCCAGUGUGGAAGAGAGAACCACCUCCUGGCUGCCUGCAGAAGCCAGUCUCUCUUCUAGUUGCUUUCAAAUCAGCUUCUCCAGCACCAUGUCUGCCUGUAUGCUGCCAUGCUUUCGGCCAUGAUGGUAAUGGACUGAACCUAUGAAACUGUAAGCCAGUCCCAGUGAAAAGUUUCUCUUUAUGAGUUGCCUUAGUCAUGGUGUCUCUUCACUGCAGUGAAACCUAACUUAAGACAAAGACUAAAUACAUUCAUCUAUCACAUGUCUGCUAAGCCCAGGGUUAUAGUCAGGUGGCAGAAAUAACAAUUGAUCCAUUAUUCUACAGUCUUCCCUUUACUGUGGGUUCUUUGGGCUUCAUACACCCCCAUGCAGAUACUACAUUGAGAUUAUGAAAUAUUUUGAAACAUUUUGCAGGUGGCCACCUCCUCUCUGCUUGGUGGGAGCCAUCUGCUGCUCAGCGGCCUUCCAAUGGGGUCACUUCCUCUUGUGGACUUUUGAGGUGGUUCUUUCCUUGAUCUUCAACAGAGCUCUGGGCCCUUGACAUCAAUGUCUGCGCCGCUUAGCUCUGAGGCAAUGUGCCCUUGAAUGGCAUGCUGCUGUAGGCUGUGCCCUUGAGUGGCUGCUGCUGUAGGCUCUGGAGUUGGAAACCACUCUCUUGUGGGGCAGUGGGCUGUGCACAGGCAGCCUGGUCUCCAGUACAGCAUAGGUGUUGGACUCCAGGGGACCCAAUGGGUGCUGAUUUCCACCUAUAUGGUACAGAAGGUGUUCAGUCAUGUCUCCUGGACCCCUGGCUCCUAUCGAAGUGACCGCCCCCACAGCCCCCACAGGAGAGGUGUGUGACUAUCAGUCACGCAGACAGUGUCCCAAGCUCCUGGCAUUCUGGCUAGACUCCACCCCACAGUUACCUGACUAUAGCCAAGUAUGCUCCUCCCCACAGUUGUCUGAUGGCCCAGCCCACUAUAAAAGGGGCUGCUUAGCCCCUCCGUGCUCUCUUUAAGCUUUCACCUUUCUUACUCUCUAGCCAUCCUUCUCUCUCCCCCACCCCCCACAUGGUCAUGCCAGGCCCCUCUCUCUCUUUCUACCUUCUCUUUUUCUCUGCCUUUCUACAAUAAAGCCCUAAAACCAUAGACUGUCUCUGCUCGUCAAGACCUGCCAUACUUGGAUAGGCUUUCCCCUAAUGAGCUGCGUCUAACCUCCCACUGGAAGGCCUUCCUACGCUCCUGCUACGGACUGGACCAAGGACUCUCACCCGCGUGGGAAUCAUCCAGCGUCCCCUCUCUCCUGCCCUCUCCUCCCUUUGGCCCCGGGACUGGCCAAGCUGCCCCCAGGGCCCCCAUUCUGUUCUCAGCUCUUCCGUGGUAUCCAGCAUGAGAUGCCCAAGGCUGAGAACCUGGUACCUAGGACUGCCCCAUGUCCACCACCCACCGAGCUGGGGUCCAUCACGCAGCCAGACACCCACCGGGGGCCAUGUGGAAAGCAUGUGGCAGUCCUCCUGUGUCCGCCUGUCCAGAGCACCGGAACUGGACACGGGUUUUCUCCCACUCCCCUUACUCCCCGCCGUCCACUGCCCCGCACUCUCUCUUUGGCACUUGAUAUGUUUUAUGUUCAUAAAAUGUCAUACUGUAUAAAAUAGGGCUGGAAUAUCUAUGCAACAGCAUUGACUCUGGGUGUAUAUAGAUUAUGUUUUGAUAACCUUUAAACAUUAACUUGUUGGAGUCAUUUGCAUUUCCCUAACAUUGGAAGAGGUUUUUGUGUUUGUUUGUUUGUUUGUUUGGUGGCUUUUUUCUUUUCUUUUUUUGAGACAGGGUUUCUCUAUGUAGCCCUGUUGUCCUGGGACUCACUCUGAAGACUAGGAGACUAGGCUGGCUUUGAACUCAGAGAUUCACCACCUUUGUCUCCUGAAUGCUGGAAUUAUGGGUGUAUGCCACCACUGCCCAGCUGAGUUUUUUUCAUGUAAGAGAGUUUUUUAGCCAGUUUCUCAGUUUUGCUCAAUCUUUCUAACUGAAACAGUUUCUAAGUAUUUCUCUUAUGGUUCCAAGAUCCUGAGUAUGUGUGCAAGAGGCAGUUAAAGACAUUGACAUUUUUAGCUAUCUUUUCCUAUCUCUGGUGGAAGAUGGGGAAAAUUUUUUUUUCUAUGAAGAUUUUAUAAGUUAAAAGUUAACAUGUCAUAUUUUCUUUUGUAUCAUUAAAGAUAUUCACUAUUAGAAACAGAAAGCUAUUCUAUUUCAUGGAUGAGUUGACUAUUCAGAGAACUUGAAUUUUAAAAAGGUUCAUUGUGAUUGGCCAUUGGGCAUAUUCAAAAUCAGGACAUGGCAGUGUAAAGGGCUGUAGGCUUUUUGGAAAAUAAUUUGGAAGCUAAAGUUAAGCAUGCGCUUCCCACGGACGCAGUGAUCCCACUUGCAGGUGUCUGCCAGUUAGAAAUGAAAAUACAUCCACACGAAGACUUGCAUGUGAAUGUUCAAAGUAAUAUGUCGUCAUAAUAUCCCCAAACUGGACACAGCUGAGAUGUCCAUUAGCUGGUGAAUGGCUAAACCAAAUGUCCUCUGCAUGUACAGCAGGAUAAUAUAUCAAUAAAAAGAAAAACACACUCCCAAAACAAAUUAGCAUGAAGGACAUUAUAGUAUGUAAUAUGAACUACAUAGAAAAUACCAUGUGAGGACUGGAGAGGUGGCUCAGUGGUUAAGAGCACUCACUCCUCUUCCAGAGCUAGGUCCUGAGUUCAGUUCCCAGGAACCACAUGGUGGCUCACAACCAUUUGUAAUGGAACCCAGUGCCCUCUUCUGGUGUGUCUUAAGACAGCAACAGUGAACUCAUAUGAGAUAAAUAAAUAUGCCCAAAAGCAGGAAUGUGGUUGCUCUAGGUUCUGGCAAGGAGUAUGAACUGAAGGGCACACUAGCCCAUGAACGUUUCCAGGUAUAAUAAUAGUCUGAGACUGUAUUGCUGGCGUGGUAAAUUUACAAUAGAUGGAUUUUGUGAUACAUGUUACAUUUUAAGGUUAUUUGAAAUAGGCGAGGAAAUUGGUGGCGGUGACUCUGUGGUUAGAGCACUUGCUGCUCUGGCAGAGGAUUGGGGUGGGUUCCCAGCACCUACACUGGGUGGCUCAUAACCACCUGCAAUUUCAAUUUGAGGGGCAGCUGAUGCCUUCUCUGUCCUUUGUGAGCAUAUGCAUGCACAAGAUGUACACAUAGAUAUUCCGUAUUUGUGCACUGUGGCUAUAGUAAGUUAGUGCUGUACAGCUACACUUUGGGAGAAAUAAUUUGGUCAAAAUGAUAAUGCUUAUAUGCCUUGAUGUUACAUAGAAAUGUUCUAAGGAAAUAAUUAGAAAUGCAAACAAGGAUUUGAGUUGGAAGUGUUCCCUAUACUGUAUAGAUUAACC
Molecule: long non-coding RNA, 3667 nt
Filed under: Mus musculus (house mouse)
Lineage: Eukaryota; Metazoa; Chordata; Mammalia; Rodentia; Muridae
Description: long non-coding RNA chr13:112845288-112848955
Source: RNAcentral